Molecule: non-coding RNA, 71 nt
Organism: Podarcis lilfordi (Lilford's wall lizard)
Lineage: Eukaryota; Metazoa; Chordata; Lepidosauria; Squamata; Lacertidae
Source: the annotation of a GenBank genome assembly
GUCUCCCUGGCUCAGCCAGUAGAGCAUGAGACUCUUAAUCUCAAGGUCGUGUUUGAGCCCAAUGUUGGGCA